CUUUCUUUGGAGGCAGAAAUUGGGCAUAAGACAGUAUGAGGGGUGGUCUCCUCCCUUAAAGGAACUCCCCAAACCUCCAUGAUUUAGCAGGAGACAAAGAGAAGGUUCAUCUGGAUCUCGUUAUUGGGCCAUGAGAAAUAGCAGCCCGACCCUCACUCUGGUCUGGGAACAAAAUUUGGCAAGCCAGCCAGGAGAGACUGGGAUGGUGCUGUGUUCAGCGGCUAGCAGCUUGCAAUGAGACAGUCUUCAGGAGGAUCCCAGCAGCUGCUGAUGAGAUUUCCCAAGGACCCUCUUGAAGGCUGUUUCAUGCAGAAAAUUGCACAUCUCUUUCACUACUGGGGAAGAAUGGAGAUCAGGAGUGGAUGCACUCAAAGGGUCACAAUUGAAAAAACUGAUCAUUUUACCAAGGCUUUGACUGGAAUGGUGUGCUUUCCUUUAAGAAAUCAAACUUGACUUAUGGAGCCAACGGAACCCCAAGUUGUCUUGGAACCUCAAGAGGAGAGAAAUUCACCCAACACAUAGGUGCUGCCUCUAAGCCCUGAAGCAGAGAGUGCUACCAAGAACAAAUCGACCUCUUCCACUCCAGUGCUGUGUUUGGUGCCCCAUAACGACGACCCUCUCUCAGCAGGAAGUAGCCAGAAAGGUUAUGAUGUCCCAUCUCCCUACAAUCCUCGUGAUAAAUAAAUAUACAAGCAUGAUAGAUAUCAUGUGCAAAUUGACAGUGGAGAUUGUGGCAGGCGGAUCUCACUAAAGCAGGCUUCUGUAACAACUGUUUCAGUAUUGACUGAGUGGUUAAGUUAAAUAUUAAAAGCCAGUGGCCCUUAUACAAAGGCUGGGAUGGAACAAAAGCCCACCAAGAGUUUUGCGUAGGCCUUUCCUGGGCCUUAAAGCAUGACAAAAUAAUGAAGGAAUUCUUAACAGGACCCAUUUAGGAUUAAACAAGUUUUAUCAUGAGUCUGAAGAAGCUUUCCAGGCCUCCACAUACAAGUUUAUUGCAGGUCUGAAGGAACUCCCUAAACCUCCAUGAUUUAGCAGGAGACAAGAUAAGGGUAACCACCCCAGCACCUGGACCCAUUUAGAUUAAGUAAAUUUACUGAUGCUCCGGAGGAAGAUCCUCAGGACUCAGACCUUAAUUAUAGAUUAAAAGUAGUGAAUCACUUAUGUCUUUAGAUGAAUGCACACUUACACGUAGACAUAUAGCUUAAAAGGUAUAUAAGCUCUGGAAAAUGUUGUAAUUUGGAGUUGGUCUGGCAAUAACUUCCAGGCCUUCCCCCUGUAACUGGUUACAGAAAUAAAAACUCUCUCCCCAAUUCAUCUGCAUCUCAUUAUUGGGGCACAAGAAAUAGCAGCCCAACCCUCAGUUUUGUCCAGGAACACUAGAAUUACCAGCGUGAGCCACAGUAGCUUGCCUGUAAAUGCUCUUUAUCAAGUUGAGGAAGGUCCCCUCAAUUCCCAUUUUCUGAAUUUUUUAAAUAAUAAAUUUAAAAACUGUGUGUUAAACUUGUGAUGUUAAAUUUUGUCAGGUAUUUUUUCUGCACUGAUUUAUAUGAUUAUAUGAUUUUUCUUCUUUUUCCUUUUAAUGUGGUUGAUCAUUUUGAUUGUUUUUCAAAUAAUGAACCAUCUAUGUUUCCUUACAAUAAAUUCUAUUUGGUUAUGGUGAAUUAAUUCUUUUUAUGAAAUGCUGAAUUCUAUUUGCUAAUAUUUUAUUAAGAAUGUCUGCACCUACAUCAAGUAGAGUUUUAUGGAUGGAAAUUAAAAGAAAAGAAGUUUGGGGCUGAACAUGGUGGCCCCUGCUGUAACUGCCCAACGGGUUCACC
RNAcentral lists this long non-coding RNA (1817 nucleotides) under Homo sapiens (human). Its description in RNAcentral is "HSALNT0242919". The record is from RNAcentral. Lineage: Eukaryota; Metazoa; Chordata; Mammalia; Primates; Hominidae.